This 231-nucleotide unclassified non-coding RNA is filed under the name plant metagenome. Its description in RNAcentral is "partial contains small subunit ribosomal RNA, internal transcribed spacer 1, and 5.8S ribosomal RNA". The record is from RNAcentral.
UUUCCGUGGGUGAACCAGCGGAGGGAUCAUUACAGAGUUGCAAAACUCUCAUACUGUUGUGAACGUCACCUAUCCCGUUGCUUCGUCGAGCGGCACGGGCCCCGUGCUCGGCGCCCCCCGGCCCCCCGUGGGCGCCCGCCGGAGGUAAACCAAACCCUUGAAUUGUCUGGCCUCUCUGAGUCCUCUGUACUGAAUAAGUCACAACUUUCAGCAACGGAUCUCUUGGUUCUC